This is a non-coding RNA of Pelodiscus sinensis (Chinese soft-shelled turtle), 394 nucleotides long. Lineage: Eukaryota; Metazoa; Chordata; Testudines; Trionychidae. The record is from RefSeq and is a predicted model, not a curated record.
CUUCUAGUUGGGAGUCCUGUCCUCUUGUCUUACCACCACAAAACUCUUGACAUUUGAGCCCUUCUUCAUCUGAGGGUCUUUAAACUGACAGUGAACUGUCUUCCUUUGAAACUGGGUAGACAGCAAGAAGAGGUUGGCAAAGCUCUGAAACAACAUAUGAAGGAUGAGUAGAAGAGGAAGGAUCUUCUAAGGUCUUCGCUUUUGAUCUUAGCUUUGAAGUAACUGUGAAGUCUGGAAAUUUAGGGGAAGCCAGGUAAUCUGGAAGCUGCCUUUUGAUGAUUCCUCUAAAAUGGGAUGAGAAAAUUCUGACCUCCAAGAAGUCUUCGGACUAAUUUACUUCUUCUCAAAGAAUUGGUGGGUUCGAAUGAGAAGAUCUAGUGAAGACACGCUAAUU